CAGCCGCCACGGUAAUACGUAGGGUGCAAGCGUUAAUCGGAAUUACUGGGCGUAAAGCGCGCGUAGGUGGUUUGUUAAGUUGGAUGUGAAAUCCCCGGGCUCAACCUGGGAACUGCAUUCAAAACUGACUGACUAGAGUAUGGUAGAGGGUGGUGGAAUUUCCUGUGUAGCGGUGAAAUGCGUAGAUAUAGGAAGGAACACCAGUGGCGAAGGCGACCACCUGGACUAAUACUGACACUGAGGUGCGAAAGCGUGGGGAGCAAACAGGAUUAGAUACCCCUGUAGUCCCUGUCUCUUAUAA
This 301-nucleotide ribosomal RNA is filed under the name uncultured bacterium. Its description in RNAcentral is "partial 16S ribosomal RNA". It matches the Rfam family "Bacterial small subunit ribosomal RNA", at positions 509 to 809 of the family's 1533-position model. The record is from RNAcentral.